GAUUUUAAGGGGAAAAAUAAAGGAAUUUUAAAAAUGUAAAUAUACAAUGUCCCUUGUCAAAUAUAAUAAACCACAAGCCAGCAGUCUUUAAAAAUGAGAUGUUUUUUCUUUAACUGUUUAAACAAACAAUUAAAGAUCCAAUGCUCUCCACUAAUGAUUGAAGAAAUGUUUAAAUGAGGAAUCAUCUGGUGAAGCAUUCCCAUUUAUGGGAGAAUCUGUACUAUGUAAAUCAAUGCACAUAUCUGGGAUUAAUUUUUUUAAAACUUGUGUUUUCUUAUGGUGGCCACAUGUCUAGUUUUGCAGAGAACAACCAUCAAUCUGGAAAAUUGUUCCGGCCAAGUCCUGUUUAAAAAUUUAGGCAGAAGAUGGGAGAACAGAGGCUUGUUCUAGCUUGUCAGUAAUAGCAGCUGGAUGGUAGAUUCAGCAGGGAUGUAGCUGGUAACAGGCAUCCUCCCUGUGCAAAACUGCAUCAUCCAUAUGGAAGGGAUAAGAUGCCAACAAGCUUAUGAAGAUCCAAGUGAUCAAUCUGUGGAGGGCUGGAAUAUUAUGAUACAAGAAAUGUAGUGCUUUCAGCUAUCUCUUCAGAGCAACAAAAAGAUGUGAGAUGUUAG
Non-coding RNA from Pogona vitticeps (central bearded dragon), 611 nucleotides. NCBI's taxonomy places the organism in Eukaryota, Metazoa, Chordata, Lepidosauria, Squamata, Agamidae. The record is from RefSeq and is a predicted model, not a curated record.